GAUGAACGCUGGCGGCGUGCCUAAUACAUGCAAGUCGAGCGAACAGAUGAGGAGCUUGCUCCUCUGACGUUAGCGGCGGACGGGUGAGUAACACGUGGAUAACCUACCUAUAAGACUGGGACAACUUCGGGAAACCGGAGCUAAUACCGGAUAAUAUAUUGAACCGCAUGGUUCAAUAGUGAAAGACGGUUUUGCUGUCACUUAUAGAUGGAUCCGCGCCGCAUUAGCUAGUUGGUAAGGUAACGGCUUACCAAGGCAACGAUGCGUAGCCGACCUGAGAGGGUGAUCGGCCACACUGGAACUGAGACACGGUCCAGACUCCUACGGGAGGCAGCAGUAGGGAAUCUUCCGCAAUGGGCGAAAGCUUGACGGAGCAACGCCGCGUGAGUGAUGAAGGUCUUCGGAUCGUAAAACUCUGUUAUUAGGGAAGAACAAAUGUGUAAGUAACUAUGCACGUCUUGACGGUACCUAAUCAGAAAGCCACGGCUAACUACGUG
RNAcentral lists this ribosomal RNA (497 nucleotides) under uncultured bacterium. RNAcentral describes it as "partial 16S ribosomal RNA". It matches the Rfam family "Bacterial small subunit ribosomal RNA", at positions 28 to 507 of the family's 1533-position model. The record is from RNAcentral.